CAUUAACCUCGAUUGAGCUUAAUUAAAGAAAAUUAACAAACACCCAGUCCAUAUAUUUAUAUAUAUUUAUUCUCCCCGCUCUUGUAAUUCUGGGUGUCUGGUACUGGUGUAAAAAAAAGUGCGAGAACCCACUAGCUUUUCUAUAUACAUGAACACAAUAAAUUUAUACUAUACAUUGAAAGGAUAAAACUAAACGUGGGAGAGCAUGUUGUAUUUUUUUACAUUAUCUAUAUAGCAAAUUAUAAUCAUUUUUUUUUUAUUGCAAUAAAAUACACAUUAUAAUUAAUUAAAUGCGCAGUAAAGCUGUAGUGUAAUGAUAUUUAAAAAUAUUGUUUUUUAUAUUUUUAUUCAUUUAUUAAUUGAUAAAUGUUUUUUAGAAUAAAUUAAAUAAAAUGAGGGUCACGUGAUGAGGAUAAAAAAAUAUUAUAUUAAUUCACGCAAGUGUCUCUAUGGAAUUUCUGAUGAUACAGUGAUGUCAUUGAAUCAUUCUUGGGUUAAUCAUACACAGCCGAAGACAUAUGACUCAAAACUUGACUCAUGCAAUCUAAUGGAGUGAAAGUGCCUCAGGUGUAUCGCGAUUCCCUGACACACGUGUUGGUCAUGAAAUCAACUUCCGCAUAUUGUCUUGACGCGUUGGGUGACAUCAUCAUUCUAUCAGUAAACACCAUAUAUAUAUAUACUUAUAUCUAUGUAUGGAAAGGAUGUCCAGGUGAGAACAAUGAAAAAAAGUCGUCCCCCAAAAAACGCUUUGUUCACAAAUUACAAUGAACACACAACAAUUUUAGAGACAUAAAUUGCUGAAAAAUUUUUAAUAGUUACAUAUAUUUAUUAUAUAAAUUAUGACAUAAUAAAUGUGAAACCUUUGGGAUAUAGUGAGUGAGCAUGAAAAUUAGCGAUGAAAACUCGCGGUUCAAUGAUCACCAAUUGUACGUACAUCGAGGUAUGUGCUUUUCUUUUAUCGUUAAAUUAAAUGGAACGAGACGUUAUUAUUUAGUACAAUGGGCAUCGGUGGGAGCGAAACAGAUUGGUCGAUAAAACCCAUAAAAGGGAACUUUAACUAGUUUUAUGGAGCAUAGGGAGACUUUAAGUUACUCAUAUUUGUUUAGGUCUACUUUCUCAUAUAACCGCCGUCUAAAAUUAUUAUUUCAAUGCAAUUUUUAUAAUUUUGUAUCCGUUUUUUUUUUUUUUCCUAAUCCUGUUCAGAAAAAUUGGACCAACGGAAAAUUUAAGAAAAAUUAAUUUAUCUUCAUUAAAUAUUCA
Long non-coding RNA from Microplitis mediator, 1260 nucleotides. RefSeq lists it as uncharacterized. The transcript has 3 exons. NCBI's taxonomy places the organism in Eukaryota, Metazoa, Arthropoda, Insecta, Hymenoptera, Braconidae. The record is from RefSeq and is a predicted model, not a curated record.